GAGCAAAGAGGCUUGAUAAAGUAGGGAAUUUUUUUGCGUUGAAGAGAAGCAAUUAUUAAUGCAGUUCUCCGUGCUGCUCAGACUUACUCUACUGCAACGAACUCGAACAAUCCGCAAGAUA
Small nucleolar RNA from Lolium perenne, 121 nucleotides. Lineage: Eukaryota; Viridiplantae; Streptophyta; Magnoliopsida; Poales; Poaceae. The record is from RefSeq and is a predicted model, not a curated record.